AAAAAAAAAUCCCCAUUUACUCUUUAGUGUCGUAUUUGAAAAUAUUAAAGCUCCAAACUAAACCAAACAAACAAACAAAAAGGCAGAGGAGACCUUUAGAGCCAAACAUUUACCCAAUCGUUCGGAGGAACCAUUUCUCCUUUGAUCUACUGUCACGAGCCUUUCGCUGGAAUUUGCUCCAAAAGAGACAUUUUUAUUGGCUUUUGUUUCCCUUUAAAUAGGUUAUAGCAUUUUUUUUGUCCCCUAAAUGAAGACCAGAAGCCCCCACGCAAGAUGAAGAGUCCUUACAAUGUUGGGAAAGCAAAGAAAAGGGGUUAUCUCUUGCAGACCCUUCCCCCAUGCUUGGGAGAGACAUUGGGACCAAAUCACCAUUUGCACAAAAGACUAGAAAUUUGUAAUUGUGGAUAACAAUUUGCAAACAGAACUGGGCCUUCUCACCCCUACCCCCUGCUCUGAGAAGGGCAGUAUGAGUAUUUUAACUGGCCGUACAGUGUCUUCCUGUGCAGACCAAAGAAGGCCUCAGGGAGGUGAUGUGUGUCUGCUGCCAACACAGCUUUAUCCGUUUUCAUGGCCGAGUCUUACUCUACCGUGUAGAGCAUGUCUGUUCAUCUUCUGUGGUUGACUUGUUGCCCCUGUCUGUGGCUGCUAUGAAAUGUACUGCUGUGAACCUUGUGGACCUCGAUGGAGAAGUUAUCUACCUGAAACCCAUUGUGACUGGAUUUGGGGGACACAUGGUCAUUAUACAGUUAACUUUUUGAGGAUUCCAAGGAUCCACUUAUGAUGGAGAAAAAUCAGAGAAAAAUGUAAUGUCUGGUCUUCUGCAGUAGCUGCUUAUGAAGAUGAAUUUGUGUGUCCUGCCAGCUCCGAACCUUCCUCCCCCCAGACGUACCCUUCAAAGCACGGGAUCCUGCUUGGCUCUCUACAGAACUGAGGCUGUCACAGGGAACUCACCUCUGAGGCAGCAGUGACAGUCACAUGAAGGGGUUCCAGAGAGGCUAAGGGACAUCCUCAGAAGGCUGGGGACUUCUCUGAGCCUCAUUGUCUGCAGAACUUGCUAAAAAACCAAAAUGAAACAAAGAAAAACAAAACCAA
Rattus norvegicus (Norway rat) is the source of this 1092-nucleotide long non-coding RNA. RefSeq lists it as uncharacterized. The record is from RefSeq and is a predicted model, not a curated record. NCBI's taxonomy places the organism in Eukaryota, Metazoa, Chordata, Mammalia, Rodentia, Muridae.